GACGAACGCUGGCGGCGUGCCUAAUACAUGCAAGUAGAACGCUGAAGAGAGGAGCUUGCUCUUCUUGGAUGAGUUGCGAACGGGUGAGUAACGCGUAGGUAACCUGCCUUGUAGCGGGGGAUAACUAUUGGAAACGAUAGCUAAUACCGCAUAACAAUGGAUGACACAUGUCAUUUAUUUGAAAGGGGCAAUUGCUCCACUACAAGAUGGACCUGCGUUGUAUUAGCUAGUAGGUGAGGUAACGGCUCACCUAGGCGACGAUACAUAGCCGACCUGAGAGGGUGAUCGGCCACACUGGGACUGAGACACGGCCCAGACUCCUACGGGAGGCAGCAGUAGGGAAUCUUCGGCAAUGGGGGCAACCCUGACCGAGCAACGCCGCGUGAGUGAAGAAGGUUUUCGGAUCGUAAAGCUCUGUUGUAAGUCAAGAACGAGUGUGAGAGUGGAAAGUUCACACUGUGACGGUAGCUUACCAGAAAGGGACGGCUAACUACGUGCCAGCAGCCGCGGUAAUACGUAGGUCCCGAGCGUUGUCCGGAUUUAUUGGGCGUAAAGCGAGCGCAGGCGGUUUGAUAAGUCUGAAGUUAAAGGCUGUGGCUCAACCAUAGUUCGCUUUGGAAACUGUCAAACUUGAGUGCAGAAGGGGAGAGUGGAAUUCCAUGUGUAGCGGUGAAAUGCGUAGAUAUAUGGAGGAACACCGGUGGCGAAAGCGGCUCUCUGGUCUGUAACUGACGCUGAGGCUCGAAAGCGUGGGGAGCGAACAGGAUUAGAUACCCUGGUAGUCCACGCCGUAAACGAUGAGUGCUAGGUGUUGGAUCCUUUCCGGGAUUCAGUGCCGCAGCUAACGCAUUAAGCACUCCGCCUGGGGAGUACGACCGCAAGGUUGAAACUCAAAGGAAUUGACGGGGGCCCGCACAAGUGGUGGAGCAUGUGGUUUAAUUCGAAGCAACGCGAAGAACCUUACCAGGUCUUGACAUCCCGAUGCUAUUUCUAGAGAUAGAAAGUUACUUCGGUACAUCGGUGACAGGUGGUGCAUGGUUGUCGUCAGCUCGUGUCGUGAGAUGUUGGGUUAAGUCCCGCAACGAGCGCAACCCCUAUUGUUAGUUGCCAUCAUUCAGUUGGGCACUCUAGCGAGACUGCCGGUAAUAAACCGGAGGAAGGUGGGGAUGACGUCAAAUCAUCAUGCCCCUUAUGACCUGGGCUACACACGUGCUACAAUGGUUGGUACAACGAGUUGCGAGUCGGUGACGGCAAGCUAAUCUCUUAAAGCCAAUCUCAGUUCGGAUUGUAGGCUGCAACUCGCCUACAUGAAGUCGGAAUCGCUAGUAAUCGCGGAUCAGCACGCCGCGGUGAAUACGUUCCCGGGCCU
RNAcentral lists this ribosomal RNA (1369 nucleotides) under uncultured bacterium. Its description in RNAcentral is "bacterial SSU rRNA". It matches the Rfam family "Bacterial small subunit ribosomal RNA", at positions 28 to 1381 of the family's 1533-position model. The record is from RNAcentral.